This is a long non-coding RNA of Gavialis gangeticus (Gharial), 123 nucleotides long. RefSeq lists it as uncharacterized. The record is from RefSeq and is a predicted model, not a curated record. Lineage: Eukaryota; Metazoa; Chordata; Crocodylia; Gavialidae. The transcript has 3 exons.
UUCAGCACCUGCAUGGGGACAUGUGGAUUCUCUACCAGGAAACAUCAAGACUGAUUUGAUGAGAACAACCAGGAGAUCCAUGAGUUGGUCAAUUGCUAGUGCAAGGCCUUCUGUGCUUGGCAA